Non-coding RNA from Ceratotherium simum simum (southern white rhinoceros), 1928 nucleotides. The record is from RefSeq and is a predicted model, not a curated record. Lineage: Eukaryota; Metazoa; Chordata; Mammalia; Perissodactyla; Rhinocerotidae.
CUCUUUCUGCUGGAGCACUAUCGGGUACCAGCAUAGAGGAGCUAUGGGUUCAUUGGAAAACUGGGACCUAACACUUCAUGCUGAUUGUCGGCACCAAAGAAGAGUAGGGUUGCUUUAUCAGCUCUCACUUUAAUGUGGAUACACGACAGGCCAAGCCCUGUGGUGCAUCCUUAGCAAAAUCUCUUCCUGAUGUUACUGGGUCUGAGGCACAGAGUCAGGUCUUGUACAUAAAUAUAAAAGGGACAGAAGAAAGACUUUAAAAAGCUGCAGGAGACAAUGACUCACAGCAUGAACACAGGCUCUCCCAUCACCCUCAUUGUUGGCAGAAUAUUUAUUAUCAAAAACAAAAAGAUUGGACUACUGGAAAGUUCUGGGCUUUCAUCAUGAAAUUAUCACAUAAUUGUACUUUUCAGGAGGGAAAUUUUUUCAGGGAAUAAGUGUCUAAAAGAAACAGACAUGGAACACACACAUACAACCAACACACUGAAUUCCAGGAGGCAAGUUUUCUCCACUUGAACCGCUCUCUUGAAUCAGCUCGUGGCUGAUCCAACAACUGUGUAAAAGAAUCAUUAACCCAACUGGAAAAAAGCCCUCAGAACGUGCUGGAGCUAACUUAGUUGUGUGACACAUGCAGUCUGAGAGGCUGUUCUAUCAGAAGAGAUAGCAACCUGAGCACGUUGUCUCUCCCAGGCAACUCAGCAGUCUGGGAACGAGGCCAGGCUUCUGGAACACUCUACUCCAGUGUAAUUGACUCCAGGUACUUUGUUACUCUGAUGUGACAGCUUUUAUCUGCUCAUAAAGAUACCACAUCAGAUUUUUAAAAAAAUUCUGUGGGUCUCUCUCUGAGAAGUGUUCUUCCAUUCGAUUCUACAAAAACCCCACUCAAAUGAAGUCUCUGACCCGGUGCAGAGCUCCGUUAGCAGAGAGGUUGAGAAGUGAGGGAGAUGUGAUCAAUCCUUUCUUUCCCCUUAAGCAACAUAUACGUAUGUAUUGUCCCUCCCCCCUAAUUUUUGUAGUGGAAGGAUGGCAGUAAAUGACCUGAAAUAACCUCAAUACAUGAUUUUAAUUUGGUACUUUGGCCUGGCAUUGGAUAUGAAUGAUAGUAGUUGCUCUUUUCUCAUUAGCAAAACUAGAAGGUUCAGAUAAAAUCUCCUGCUCUAUGAACACAGCAUUUCUUACUAGAAUGUUUUUCCUUGCAAACUCAUAGACAUGGGUUGACGCUCAGACCUGAUGUAUUAAAUUGCAGGUACUUAUUCGUGAAAUGAAUGAUUUGGGUUUUUUUUUCAACCCGGGAAUGUUUUCGCCAUACUGGAAUUGGAAUGCAGUGGAAAAUCUUCGAUAGAAAGAUAAUCUAUUGCAGCAUAGUGGGGCAGCUAUAAAAACUUGCCUGCCGAAGUUUUUCUGGAAUGUUAACUGACAGCAGGAUUACCUAUGUGGCAGUCAAUUCUCUGGUAGGUUUCAGAUUUGCUAUGGGCUAGUGGUCCAGCCUCAUAUCUUGAUAAAAUUAAGCAGUUAAGCUGAGAUGUUAAAAUCAUUGUCUGGACUUGUAACACCAGAAUUUUGUUUUUUUCAAUGUGUGGUUUUUCUCCUCCCAUGAUAAACAUUGGAAAUAUCUUUAGCUAAUUUAAAAACUAUUUAUUAUACAGUCAACCUGUAAACAAAAAUUCUAAAUUAUCUCACCAGUGAACACAAGCACGAACCUGUAUCAAGAUGAAAGUGCUUUGGAAGCAUCAUUUUGAGUCUAUUUAAGGUCUAUGCCCAUUCCUUCACUCUAACCUGCAAUAAAGGAUCAAUGACAAAUCAAUAGAUUAAAUAAGUAAAUUAAAUCAACCAGAGGAGCACUAACUGUUCCUUCAAUUAAACUUAAGUCAGCUCUUAUUUGGCCUUUUCCUCAAUUUAAUUAUUCUGUCCAUUUUCGGUUAUAAGAA